Sander lucioperca (pikeperch) is the source of this 169-nucleotide small nucleolar RNA. Lineage: Eukaryota; Metazoa; Chordata; Actinopteri; Perciformes; Percidae. The record is from Ensembl.
GGUGGACGGUGUGCACAGUGUAAGUCUGUGUUAUGUGCUGUUGCCUGACUGUGUUUUGCAGGCUGGGCAGCAGUGCUCACUCCACACCUGCAGCCAUAGAGCAACUGGAGAUCAUAGUACUGGUCCUUGACAUCUUACCAUUGGCCAGCCUCCAAACUCUCCUACAUGC